GUGGGGAAUAUUGGACAAUGGGGGGAACCCUGAUCCAGCCAUGCCGCGUGUGUGAAGAAGGCCUUUUGGUUGUAAAGCACUUUAAGCGAGGAGGAGGCUACCGAGAUUAAUACUCUUGGAUAGUGGACGUUACUCGCAGAAUAAGCACCGGCUAACUCUGUGCCAGCAGCCGCGGUAAUACAGAGGGUGCAAGCGUUAAUCGGACUUACUGGGCGUAAAGCGCGCGUAGGUGGCCAAUUAAGUCAAAUGUGAAAUCCCCGAGCUUAACUUGGGAAUUGCAUUCGAUACUGGUUGGCUAGAGUAUGGGAGAGGAUGGUAGAAUUCCAGGUGUAGCGGUGAAAUGCGUAGAGAUCUGGAGGAAUACCGAUGGCGAAGGCAGCCAUCUGGCCUAAUACUGACACUGAGGUGCGAAAGCAUGGGGAGCAAACAGGAUUAGAUACCCCUGUAGUCC
This 451-nucleotide ribosomal RNA is filed under the name uncultured bacterium. Its description in RNAcentral is "partial 16S ribosomal RNA". It matches the Rfam family "Bacterial small subunit ribosomal RNA", at positions 354 to 796 of the family's 1533-position model. The record is from RNAcentral.